This is a long non-coding RNA of Pogoniulus pusillus (Red-fronted tinkerbird), 874 nucleotides long. RefSeq lists it as uncharacterized. The transcript is spliced from 4 exons. NCBI's taxonomy places the organism in Eukaryota, Metazoa, Chordata, Aves, Piciformes, Lybiidae. The record is from RefSeq and is a predicted model, not a curated record.
AGGAGCUUCCCCCUCUGUGCUCAUCUGCUUACUCCUGUCUUCACCGAAGAGCUCAAAGGCAAGUGCAAUGCCUUGGAGCAGCAAGAUUUACAUCAGAUCAAAUGCCAAGGCAUGAGAAAUGAGCUCCAGAAGGGCUGCCUGUGAAUCCAGGGGUUUCACAACUGGAAAUGCACCUUGAACAAUAACUUCUUUAGAAGCUGUGAUAUCUGGACUUGCAACAGCUGCAACCCCAGCCUUGCUCUGUAUCAGUGCACGGGAGGUGCUCAACCCCUCCAGUUCUACUCCCAGUCUUGGCUCAGACCCAGGGCCAAGUGCAUGGGUUUUUCCUGGAAGAGCAGAGCAAGAACAGAGUUCCCACCAAUAAUGUCUGAAAAAUAACCAUGAUAAAUGUCAUUUAAUUUUCUGUAGAAAUUAAGGACAACAGAAUGCACUGUGUGAAAAGAAGGAUGGUUGCUUGGUUAAUUAGAGACAAGAAAUGAAGAUUAUUGGUGGCUUAUGGCUGAUUUGAUUCAGCAGCUUUUACUCAAUAAGGAAUAUACAUCUGAUUGUCUCUCCUUCUGUGUAAAAAAAAUGGACUAGUCCAGCCCCCCACCUGCUAGGUAUCAAAUGCCACAUGAACAAGAGUAAGAUGAGGAAACAGUCAUAGAAUAAUUUGGGCCUUUAAAACUCAUCUGGUCCAGCCCCCUGAAAGUGAGCAUGGACAACUUUAAGUAGAGCAGAGCCCCAUCCAGUCUAGCCUUGAAUACUUCCAGGGAUGCAUCAUCUACCAUCUAUCAGCCCAAUUUAUCUUCUUUGUCUCCCACUGUGUCGUGGAGGGGUUUCUCUUAUUCCUUCCUUAUUAGGGGGAGGUGAGAAAUUAAUUUGAGGCAGUACU